RNAcentral lists this ribosomal RNA (441 nucleotides) under uncultured bacterium. RNAcentral describes it as "partial 16S ribosomal RNA". It matches the Rfam family "Bacterial small subunit ribosomal RNA", at positions 338 to 795 of the family's 1533-position model. The record is from RNAcentral.
CCUACGGGUGGCAGCAGUGGGGAAUAUUGCGCAAUGGGGGCAACCCUGCCGCAGCAACGCCGCGUGAUUGAAGAAGGCCUUCGGGUUGUAAAGAUCUUUAAUCAGGGACGAAAAAUGACGGUACCUGAAGAAUAAGCCCCGGCUAUCUACGUGCCAGCAGCCGCGGUAAUACGUAGGGGGCAAGCGUUAUCCGGAUUUACUGGGUGUAAAGGGAGCGUAGACGGCAGCGCAAGUCUGAAGUGAAAUCCCAUGGCUUAACCAUGGAACUGCUUUGGAAAAUGUGCAGCUGGAGUGCAGGAGAGGUAAGCGGAAUUCCUAGUGUAGCGGUGAAAUGCGUAGAUAUUAGGAGGAACACCAGUGGCGAAGGCGGCUUACUGGACUGUAACUGACGUUGAGGCUCGAAAGCGUGGGGAGCAAACAGGAUUAGAUACCCUUGUAGUC